Molecule: non-coding RNA, 449 nt
Organism: Parasteatoda tepidariorum (common house spider)
Lineage: Eukaryota; Metazoa; Arthropoda; Arachnida; Araneae; Theridiidae
Source: RefSeq, a predicted model, not a curated record
UAUAAGAAGAUAUGAUAUAUGAUAUGAUAUAAGAAGAGAGUGAAAUGAUAACACAUGGCCAAUCACAGAACACUUGAGGUUAGUAACGCACAAAACAGCCAAUUAAAAUUGAGAACGCAUGUGUGUAAAAAGGUAAUAAUUUUUAAUAAUACUGCUUGCUAAAAUGUUACAACUAAACUUACCAUCUAAAGCUGAGUAGCGAUUUUUAUUUUAUUUUGAGUUUGUCUAAUACUGAUGUCAGAGUUUUCCAUUGUUGCCCGUGCAUUUCUAUUGGCCUGAAAAUCACGAGGAAAUUAUAAACUUUAGAGCUUCAAGCAGAUCUUGUUGUUCUUCGUAUUUUAUAAUAAAACCCAAAAGAUUCAUGUGUGCAGACAAAGUUACGUAUACAAAGUGAUCACAAGUUUUUUUUAAUUUUUUUUUUUAAUUUUUUUUUUUUUUAAAAACUUAGA